UACCCGCUGAACUUAAGCAUAUCAAUAAGCGGAGGAAAAGAAACCAACCGGGAUUGCCUCAGUAACGGCGAGUGAAGCGGCAAAAGCUCAAAUUUGAAAUCUGGCGCCUCUUGGUGCCCGAGUUGUAAUUUGUAGAGGCGACUUUUGGGGCCGGUCCUUGUCUAUGUUCCUUGGAACAGGACGUCAUGGAGGGUGAGAAUCCCGUGUGGCGAGGACAGACGAGCUCCUUGUAAAGCGUUCUCGAAGAGUCGAGUUGUUUGGGAAUGCAGCUCUAAGUGGGUGGUAAAUUCCAUCUAAAGCUAAAUACAGGCGAGAGACCGAUAGCGAACAAGUACAGUGAUGGAAAGAUGAAAAGAACUUUGAAAAGAGAGUGAAAAAGUACGUGAAAUUGUUGAAAGGGAAGGGCAUUUGAUCAGACAUGGCGUUUUGCGCCCCCUGCUCCUUGUGGGCGGGGGACUCUCGCAGCUCGCUGGGCCAGCAUCGGUUUUUGCGGCAGGAGAAAGCCCGGGGAACGUGGCUUGCGCCUUUUGGGGCAAGUGUUUAUAGCCCUGGGGAAUACUGCCAGCGGGGACCGAGGACUGCGGUGCUUGUCGCCAAGGAUGCUGGCAUAAUGGUUAUAUGCCGCCCGUCUUGAAACACGGACCAAGGAGUCUAACGUCUAUGCGAGUGUUUGGGUGUGAAACCCGUACGCGUAAUGAAAGUGAACGUAGGUUGGGGCCUCGCAAGAGGUGCACAAUCGACCGAUCCUGAAGUGUUCGGAAGGAUUUGAGUAAGAGCAUAGCUGUUGGGACCCGAAAGAUGGUGAACUAUGCCUGAAUAGGGUGAAGCCAGAGGAAACUCUGGUGGAGGCUCGUAGCGGUUCUGACGUGCAAAUCGAUCGUCGAAUUUGGGUAUAGGGGCGAAAGACUAAUCGA
RNAcentral lists this ribosomal RNA (914 nucleotides) under Zygotorulaspora mrakii. Its description in RNAcentral is "LSU rRNA". It matches the Rfam family "Eukaryotic large subunit ribosomal RNA", at positions 22 to 938 of the family's 3401-position model. Lineage: Eukaryota; Fungi; Ascomycota; Saccharomycetes; Saccharomycetales; Saccharomycetaceae. The record is from RNAcentral.